This 1492-nucleotide ribosomal RNA is filed under the name uncultured bacterium. RNAcentral's name for it is "16S ribosomal RNA". It matches the Rfam family "Bacterial small subunit ribosomal RNA". The record is from RNAcentral.
AGAGUUUGAUCCUGGCUCAGGAUGAACGCUAGCUACAGGCUUAACACAUGCAAGUCGAGGGGCAGCAUGGUCUUAGCUUGCUAAGGCCGAUGGCGACCGGCGCACGGGUGAGUAACGCGUAUCCAACCUGCCUUACACUCUUGGACAGCCUUCUGAAAGGGAGAUUAAUACAAGAUGUUAUCAUGAGUAAGCAUUUUCGCAUGAUUAAAGGUUUACCGGUGUAAGAUGGGGAUGCGUUCCAUUAGAUAGUAGGCGGGGUAACGGCCCACCUAGUCUUCGAUGGAUAGGGGUUCUGAGAGGAAGGUCCCCCACAUUGGAACUGAGACACGGUCCAAACUCCUACGGGAGGCAGCAGUGAGGAAUAUUGGUCAAUGGACGAGAGUCUGAACCAGCCAAGUAGCGUGAAGGAUGAAGGUUCUAUGGAUUGUAAACUUCUUUUAUACGGGAAUAAACGAAUCCACGUGUGGAUUUUUGCAUGUACCGUAUGAAUAAGGAUCGGCUAACUCCGUGCCAGCAGCCGCGGUAAUACGGAGGAUCCGAGCGUUAUCCGGAUUUAUUGGGUUUAAAGGGAGCGUAGAUGGGUUGUUAAGUCAGUUGUGAAAGUUUGCGGCUCAACCGUAAAAUUGCAAUUGAUACUGGCAGUCUUGAGUACAGUUGAGGUAGGCGGAAUUCGUGGUGUAGCGGUGAAAUGCUUAGAUAUCACGAAGAACUCCGAUUGCGAAGGCAGCUUACUAACCUGUAACUGACAUUGAUGCUCGAAAGUGUGGGUAUCAAACAGGAUUAGAUACCCUGGUAGUCCACACGGUAAACGAUGAAUACUCGCUGUAGGCGAUAUACAGUCUGCGGCCAAGCGAAAGCAUUAAGUAUUCCACCUGGGGAGUACGCCGGCAACGGUGAAACUCAAAGGAAUUGACGGGGGCCCGCACAAGCGGAGGAACAUGUGGUUUAAUUCGAUGAUACGCGAGGAACCUUACCCGGGCUUAAAUUGCAACCGAAUAUGGCGGAAACGCUAUAGCUAGCAAUAGCGGUUGUGAAGGUGCUGCAUGGUUGUCGUCAGCUCGUGCCGUGAGGUGUCGGCUUAAGUGCCAUAACGAGCGCAACCCUUGCCGAUAGUUACUAACAGGUUAUGCUGAGGACUCUGUCGGGACUGCCAUCGUAAGAUGUGAGGAAGGUGGGGAUGACGUCAAAUCAGCACGGCCCUUACGUCCGGGGCUACACACGUGUUACAAUGGGGGGUACAGAGGGCUGCUACCACGCAAGUGGAUGCCAAUCCCAAAAACCUCUCUCAGUUCGGAUUGAAGUCUGCAACCCGACUUCAUGAAGCUGGAUUCGCUAGUAAUCGCGCAUCAGCCACGGCGCGGUGAAUACGUUCCCGGGCCUUGUACACACCGCCCGUCAAGCCAUGGGAGCCGGGGGUACCUGAAGUGCGUAACCGCAAGGAGCGCCCUAGGGUAAAACUGGUGACUGGGGCUAAGUCGUAACAAGGUAGCCG